Molecule: ribosomal RNA, 458 nt
Filed under: uncultured bacterium
Lineage: Bacteria
Description: partial 16S ribosomal RNA
Rfam family: Bacterial small subunit ribosomal RNA
Source: RNAcentral
CCUACGGGAGGCAGCAGUGAGGAAUAUUGGUCAAUGGGCGAGAGCCUGAACCAGCCAAGUCGCGUGAGGGAGUACUGCCCUAUGGGUUGUAAACCUCUUUUGUCGGGGAGCAAAAGCCGGACGUGUCCGGCUGUGAGAGUACCUGAAGAAAAAGCAUCGGCUAACUCCGUGCCAGCAGCCGCGGUAAUACGGAGGAUGCGAGCGUUAUCCGGAUUUAUUGGGUGUAAAGGGUGCGCAGGCGGAUUUUUAAGUCAGCGGUAAAAUCGUGGGGCUCAACCCCAUCCAGCCGUUGAAACUGGGGAUCUAGAGUGUGCGAGAGGUAUGCGGAAUGCGUGGUGUAGCGGUGAAAUGCAUAGAUAUCACGCAGAACCCCGAUUGCGAAGGCAGCAUACCGGUGCACAACUGACGCUCAGGCACGAAAGCGUGGGUAUCGAACAGGAUUAGAUACCCCUGUAGUC